Molecule: small RNA, 479 nt
Filed under: Pan troglodytes (chimpanzee)
Lineage: Eukaryota; Metazoa; Chordata; Mammalia; Primates; Hominidae
Description: processed transcript
Source: RNAcentral
CUAAGUACAUAAGGUUGACUAAUUAAGAAUUUCCUGUUUCUUAUAAAAUUUUAAUAUAACUAAUUGUUGAUUUUUUUUUCCAGUAACUCUGGGUGGAUUUUAACUACAACUCUUGUCCUCUCGGUGAUGGUAUUGCUUUGGAUUUGUUGUGCAACUGUUGCUACAGCUGUGGAGCAGUAUGUUCCCUCUGAGAAGCUGAGUAUCUAUGGUGACUUGGAGUUUAUGAAUGAACAAAAGCUAAACAGAUAUCCAGCUUCUUCUCUUGUGGUUGUUAGAUCUAAAACUGAAGAUCAUGAAGAAGCAGGGCCUCUACCUACAAAAGUGAAUCUUGCUCAUUCUGAAAUUUAAGCAUUUUUCUUUUAAAAGACAAGUGUAAUAGACAUCUAAAAUUCCACUCCUCAUAGAGCUUUUAAAAUGGUUUCAUUGGAUAUAGGCCUUAAGAAAUCACUAUAAAAUGCAAAUAAAGUUACUCAAAUCUG